CAAGUCGAACGCGAAAGUCCCGCAAGGGAUCAGUAGAGUGGCAAACGGGUGAGUAACGCGUGGGUGACCUGCCUUCGAGCGGGGGAUAACGUUUCGAAAGGAACGCUAAUACCGCAUGACAUCCUGCCUUUGAAGAGGUGGAGAUCAAAGCUGGGGAUCGUAAGACCUGGCACUUGAAGAGGGGCCCGCGUCCGAUUAGCUAGUUGGUGAGGUAACGGCUCACCAAGGCUCCGAUCGGUAUCCGGCCUGAGAGGGCGGACGGACACACUGGGACUGAGACACGGCCCAGACUCCUACGGGAGGCAGCAGUGGGGAAUUGUUCGCAAUGGGCGCAAGCCUGACGACGCAACGCCGCGUGGAGGAUGAAGAUCUUCGGGUCGUAAACUCCUUUCGAUCGAGACGAAUGGCCUCUGGGCUAAUCACCAGGGGAAUGACGGUACCGAGAGAAGAAGCCCCGGCUAACUCCGUGCCAGCAGCCGCGGUAAUACGGGGGGGGCAAGCGUUGUUCGGAAUUACUGGGCGUAAAGGGCUCGUAGGUGGCCAACUAAGUCAGACGUGAAAUCCCUCGGCUUAACCGGGGAACUGCGUCUGAUACUGGAUGGCUUGAGAUUGGGAGAGGGAUGCGGAAUUCCAGGUGUAGCGGUGAAAUGCGUAGAUAUCUGGAGGAACACCGGUGGCGAAGGCGGCAUCCUGGACCAACACUGACACUGAGGAGCGAAAGCCAGGGGAGCAAACGGGAUUAGAUACCCCGGUAGUCCUGGCCCUAAACGAUGAAUGCUUGGUGUGGCGGGUAUCGAUCCCUGCCGUGCCGAACCUAACGCAUUAAGCAUUCCGCCUGGGGAGUACGGUC
Molecule: ribosomal RNA, 850 nt
Filed under: uncultured Pseudomonadota bacterium
Lineage: Bacteria; Pseudomonadati; Pseudomonadota
Description: bacterial SSU rRNA
Rfam family: Bacterial small subunit ribosomal RNA
Source: RNAcentral